This 211-nucleotide long non-coding RNA is filed under the name Elaeis guineensis (African oil palm). RNAcentral's name for it is "long non-coding RNA (EGUI_LNC047474)". Lineage: Eukaryota; Viridiplantae; Streptophyta; Magnoliopsida; Arecales; Arecaceae. The record is from RNAcentral.
UGGUGGACCACAUACGACUGGCUGCGCCCUAGCCCACCCAAAUCCGAGGACAACAAAUCAAUGAAUACCAGCCAUUGAGAUAUGGAUGUGGGUACGGUGUGCCACUCCAGACUUCCACUCCCCGAACCACGGCGCCCUCGCAUCGACCGUUUCAUAAAUUCCACGUGGCACCUUCUAGUGCGUUCCCAGGCUCCACGUUUCCAACAACCUG